GAUGAACGCUAGCUACAGGCUUAACACAUGCAAGUCGAGGGGAAACGAUAUUGGAAGCUUGCUUCCGAUAGGCGUCGACCGGCGCACGGGUGAGUAACGCGUAUCCAACCUGCCCAUCACUUGGGAAUAACCUUGCGAAAGUAAGACUAAUGCCCAAUGACAUUUAUAGAAGGCAUCCGAAGUGAAUUAAAGAUUUAUCGGUGAUGGAUGGGGAUGCGUCUGAUUAGCUUGUUGGCGGGGUAACGGCCCACCAAGGCGACGAUCAGUAGGGGUUCUGAGAGGAAGGUCCCCCCACAUUGGAACUGAGACACGGUCCAAACUCCUACGGGAGGCAGCAGUGAGGAAUAUUGGUCAAUGGGGCGAGAGCCUGAACCAGCCAAGUAGCGUGCAGGAAGACGGCCCUAUGGGUUGUAAACUGCUUUUAUAGGGAAUAAAGUGAGCCACGUGUGGUUUUUUGCAUGUACCCUAUGAAUAAGGACCGGCUAAUUCCGUG
This 493-nucleotide ribosomal RNA is filed under the name uncultured bacterium. RNAcentral's name for it is "bacterial SSU rRNA". It matches the Rfam family "Bacterial small subunit ribosomal RNA", at positions 28 to 507 of the family's 1533-position model. The record is from RNAcentral.